RNAcentral lists this ribosomal RNA (1005 nucleotides) under Triticum aestivum (bread wheat). Its description in RNAcentral is "partial small subunit ribosomal RNA". The record is from RNAcentral. Lineage: Eukaryota; Viridiplantae; Streptophyta; Magnoliopsida; Poales; Poaceae.
AUGGGCUCUCAAGGUGAUCUGCACGGCGGCGGCGGCGGCCGCCGCAAUCAGGGCCACGCUGAUGGACCAGAGCCGCUGGACCAAUCCUGUCGCCAUGAUGCGGCCCUGCGCAUUGCAAAUGCUUUUCUUGAUGAGGAGAUUAAAAACAUCAACAACUCACUGGUUGACACGGAAAUCAAUGUUAUAAGCGACAGUGCUGAUGCGGGGACAUUAAUUACCCUUUCCUACAUGGCCGUGGCCGUUGCUCCUGACCUCAAAGCCAUAUUUGCAAGAUCAGAAAAGCCUCCUAUCAGCGCUGCAAAACUACUUGUCCCCACGGAUUACCCAAGGAGUUCUCCUGUGCUUGUUGAGGAUGAUGAAGAUGCGCAGGAGAGGAAUGAGUUCAAGGCCAUGUCAAACUCGGUCCACAAGCAGUUCAAGCUUGCCCUAGCUGAGCAUAGGUCCAUCAAUGAUAUUGCAAGGGAAUGGGAUUCCUGUGUGCGUGCAGCUGUGCUGAAGUUAGCGAAAUCUUUUGGCGGAGGCACCUUCACCUCAAGGUAUGGCAAAUGGGAGAGUGUCUCGUCACUUGGAUCGAAUGGUGCAGCUGCUAAAGGGGAAGAUCAUGAGUGUGAUAGAGCUGAAACAACAAUCUCCGAGAAAUCCACAGGAAAAUCAGAGAUAACACCAGCAGAUGGCCAUUCUAAUACCAGAGGUCACGCCUGCUCCACUCCAGCUCUCUUCCCUCCGCUCCAGCCUCAAGCUCACAGAACCACUGCUCUGAGCACUCACAGUUUUAAGCAAUGGUACCUAUCUUCAAUACAAGGUGAUUUAGCUGAGGAAUUACAGAAGAUGGAGGUGAUCUAUAAUGUGAUCAUGGAGAGGCAGUCGACGAAUGAGAGGGAUGAUCUGAGUGAUCUGUGGCUACUCAUCAAUGAAGGUGUUAAGAAGUGCAAAGGUAUCCUCUUAGAAAUUCAUGCCUUGGGAGGGUCCUGGGAUCAGGAGAUCGACCCGAAAUUCAUCUGGUGA